AUUUUAACUCAUUGAGCAUUCCUUUUCCAUUUUAUUUCUUGGCUUUUUUUCAUAGUAACCAAGUGCAAGGAUUGUAGGUUAAAAUACAAGCCACAGUCUGGGAGUGUCCAGUCAGUUCAUGACAGGAGUCAGAGAGGGGCCCAGAAACCAAAGGCAAAAUUAUCAAAUGUAUUCAUUCAUCUUCAACCACUCCCACAUUAAUUAAAAAUAUACAACUAAGUAGAUAUUUGGCUAUUUUGUUUUUUUAAAUUGUUUUAUUCCUCUAUUUUACAUUUAACACGGAUAAUAUUAAUAAUAAGAGCUAACAUUAAUUGAGCACUUACUAUGUAACAUGUCUUGUGUUAAGCAUUGAUUCAAAUAUUACCUCAUAUAAUCAUCAUUGCACUUUGUUACUUUGUUGUAUUUUAUGUCUCUCUCCCAGGAAAGAAUGCCAAGAAAGAGGUAACUGUUCAGAGGGAACUGGAUCUAAUGUGGAAGUGGACAGGGAGGACCCUCAGCUGCCAGUUUGGCUUAAAAGUGACCCAUGCCAAUUCUGCUCACAAUCUAUUGGCCAGAGCUAGUCACGUGUCCUGCUAUAUUUAAAGAAGGCUGGGAAAUAGAGUGGCAAGUGAAAAUUUGGUUUGAGAGAGCAUCAUGGAAUUCCUUCCAAGGAUGCAAGAGGAAGAAGAAUCUCUUUCAAUUUCCAGUAGAAUUCAUUGCAGUGAGUUUAUGCCAACAAUUGAUCCCAGCACCUGUGUGCAGGACCUGCUGCUUUUGGAACCCAACUGCCAUGAUGUGAGAAGCCCAAGUCACAUGGAGAAGCUCUACCUAUACUCCCUGCCAACAGCCAACAUCAAUUGCUAGUCAUGGGAGUGAGCCAUCUUGGCCAUCCAGCCCAACUGAGGAUGACUGCAACUGCCUGAGAGAUCCCACACAACUCACAGAAAUGUUCAGUCAACUCACAGAAAUGCGAGAGACAAUAUUAAAUUUAAGUUUUCAGGUGGUUUGUUAUACAGCUGUAGGUAACAGGGAUUUUAAAAAUACCAAUUUUAUUCAUUCAAACAGGUCUUUUAUCUUUCUGUUAGUCUUAUAAGGGAAAUUCUGCUUUCUGUUUUCUCUAUUUUGCUCCUG
This 1110-nucleotide long non-coding RNA is filed under the name Equus caballus (horse). RNAcentral's name for it is "lncRNA (ENSECAG00000039485.3)". Lineage: Eukaryota; Metazoa; Chordata; Mammalia; Perissodactyla; Equidae. The record is from RNAcentral.